Molecule: non-coding RNA, 31 nt
Filed under: Rattus norvegicus (Norway rat)
Lineage: Eukaryota; Metazoa; Chordata; Mammalia; Rodentia; Muridae
Source: RNAcentral
UGAAAGGUAGACUUCAUGAUGACAAAGAUGU